GUGCUCGCUUUGGCAGCACAUAUACUAAAAUUGGAACGAUACAGAGAAGAUUAGCAUGGCCCCUGCGCAAUGAAAUAUUAUGACAAAAUAACUAAGAGUAAUAC
Molecule: small nuclear RNA, 104 nt
Organism: Suncus etruscus (white-toothed pygmy shrew)
Lineage: Eukaryota; Metazoa; Chordata; Mammalia; Eulipotyphla; Soricidae
Source: RefSeq, a predicted model, not a curated record